Molecule: ribosomal RNA, 770 nt
Filed under: uncultured Vagococcus sp.
Lineage: Bacteria; Bacillati; Bacillota; Bacilli; Lactobacillales; Enterococcaceae
Description: bacterial SSU rRNA
Rfam family: Bacterial small subunit ribosomal RNA
Source: RNAcentral
GACGAACGCUGGCGGCGUGCUAAUACAUGCAAGUCGAACGCACGAAGUUGAAGAGCUUGCUCUUUAACCAAGUGAGUGGCGGACGGGUGAGUAACACGUGGGUAACCUGCCCAUUAGAGGGGGAUAACAUUCGGAAACGGAUGCUAAUACCGCAUAGCUUCAGGAAUCGCAUGAUUCUUGAAGGAAAGGUGGCUUCGGCUACCACUAAUGGAUGGACCCGCGGCGUAUUAGCUAGUUGGUGAGGUAAUGGCUCACCAAGGCAAUGAUACGUAGCCGACCUGAGAGGGUGAUCGGCCACACUGGGACUGAGACACGGCCCAGACUCCUACGGGAGGCAGCAGUAGGGAAUCUUCCGCAAUGGACGAAAGUCUGACGGAGCAACGCCGCGUGAGUGAAGAAGGUUUUCGGAUCGUAAAACUCUGUUGUUAAAGAAGAACAAGGAUGAGAGUAACUGCUCAUCCCCUGACGGUAUUUAACCAGAAAGCCACGGCUAACUACGUGCCAGCAGCCGCGGUAAUACGUAGGUGGCAAGCGUUGUCCGGAUUUAUUGGGCGUAAAGCGAGCGCAGGCGGUUCUUUAAGUCUGAUGUGAAAGCCCCCGGCUCAACCGGGGAGGGUCAUUGGAAACUGGAGAACUUGAGUGCAGAAGGGGAGAGUGGAAUUCCACGUGUAGCGGUGAAAUGCGUAGAUAUGUGGAGGAACACCAGUGGCGAAGGCGACUCUCUGGUCUGUAACUGACGCUGAGGCUCGAAAGCGUGGGGAGCAAACAGG